GGCAGUUGGACCCCAGAGUGUGGCACGUGUUCCUGUGUUCAUUUGAAUAUUCUGUGAUGACCUGUCACGGAGGUCAUGUGAUGAUGUAUAUCCUGCCCUCCAUCCCAACUGCCACUGGGUUUCAACUGCCACCUGGGAGACUGCUGGUAAAGAUGGGAGGUGGCCUUUGCCGCUUUCCAUCUUCUCACUGCAGUUUCUUCACGUGGGCCACUUGUACUUAAAAUGUCUUCUUAAUUUAUUCUUUUUACUUCCCCAGCUCCAAUUUGUCUACAGAUUUACAAAUUUGUUUUAUAGUUUUAUGACUCAAUUUGUAUUUUCGGUCCUAUGAAGCUUUUUGCCUUAAAUAUUUUUCUCUGUUUAUAAGAAUGUGCUGUUUCCUAGGCCAGUUUUGUACACACUCUUCCAUAGAAUAGAUCCAGAAGAAACACAACAAUACUGCCUUCAUCAUAUCAGGAGAUCUUGAUACCAAAUACGAGUGUUGCCUCCAAGAUGCAAGAUCCUGAGGGCUCCAAAGAAUCCACUGUCCGUCACAAAUCGACGGUCCGCCAGCUCAGUUUCAGAGACGUGGUGCUCCGCUGCAGGCCUCAUCCUCAGGUGCACCCUGGCAGUCAGCCAUCUGAAGGUACUAUGGAAAUUCAGUUACUCACUCUUGGGAGCAGAAGGAUUCCAGACCAUUCCUGUGUGCACCCUGGCAGGGAGCCAUCUGAAGAUUUCAGGGACCACCUGGAGGGGAGCGGACCAGAGAGACUUCCUCGGAAUAGGCUGUGGCUCUUCACAAGGUGUCUUCUAUGCUUUAUUUGGGAGCCAUUGCCUUGAGCGUUAUUUCCCAGAUGGUUUUCUAAUGUCACCAACUGAAGAAAAGACCCAUGCACACAGGACACAGCAUGAUCUGAUGCUCACAGCGUUUUCCUUCCUCUCUGAAAACGGACUCAGCGAUUCUGGCAAGCGGUACUUACUCUGAGAUCACCCGUUUGCUAAGGAAAAAUCUUAGUACUGAGAAAGGUGACACUUUCCUCCCUGCUUUUGCUGGAGAGACACUUUGGUUAUGAGUUAUUUCUAGCAUAACACAGUUUAUUUCAGAAGUCCAGCUCAAUAGCAGACCAAGGCAUGAACAACACAUGAAAAUUUAUGUUGGGAAAAUAUAUAUUGUAUGUCUGCUUGAACUGUGGGUUCUUGAUUAAUACAAAACUGGUUGAUGAAGGUUGUUACCUUCAGGAAAAUGCAAAUCUAGUGGAGGGACAAAACUCACAGUAACAGUAUUUCAUCAUAGCCACCAUGAGGCAGUACAUUAUGAAGCAUGUCAGUGAUGAAUUACUGGCAGGCUGGUCUGUCAUUGAAGCUACACUCUGUUUCUAGCUUCUGUUGCUUCUGCUGUCUCUCUCCUAACAUCUGCAUAUUCCUCCACUUUGUGGUGGAGGAAGCAUUAGGGCUGAUAUAGGGGAUUUCCAGUGAGUGUAUAAUUCAGUGCAGAAUUGGCAGGAAUAUAUUCCAUGGUUAGGAGCUGGAGAAAGUAAGAAAUAAAAAUAGACCUUGAAGAAUGGGUAGGAUUUUCAAAAUCAGAGAUAAAGACGCAAGAAAGAGAAUUCAGUUUUUCAAGUUUCUAAGCAAUCAUAUUUACAUGCAUAGACAUUUUGCUGGUUUCUGUCUUACUAAUGUAUACUACACUGUGUCUAAUCACUCUGAGGGCUGGUAUUUCGGGUCUGUUCCAGACACUCAGGAAUCAUUUGUUCAGCUUGUUCUAUAUGCUGGAAACUGUUGCAGGGAUGGAUAUAUGCAGUCCUUGUCCCAAAGCAGCUUAUGACUCCAAGAGCAAGGGAUAGAAUAUGAACAUGUGUCUUUGGGUUACUUCUAGGGGUAAGAAUGAGUUCUGUGGGCAGAUGCAUACAGGAAGUGGGGAGAGGGAGAAUGAGAUACAAACUAUCCAGGCAGGAGGCAUUGCAGUAAUCAAAGUGAACUAUGAGAGAAGCCUGGGGUGUUGUAAAAAGAAAGAAA
This is a long non-coding RNA of Homo sapiens (human), 1992 nucleotides long. Ensembl annotates it as long intergenic non-protein coding RNA 1120. The record is from Ensembl. NCBI's taxonomy places the organism in Eukaryota, Metazoa, Chordata, Mammalia, Primates, Hominidae.